Molecule: ribosomal RNA, 460 nt
Filed under: uncultured bacterium
Lineage: Bacteria
Description: bacterial SSU rRNA
Rfam family: Bacterial small subunit ribosomal RNA
Source: RNAcentral
UACGGAAGGCAGCAGUGGGGAAUAUUGCACAAUGGGCGAAAGCCUGAUGCAGCUAUGCCGCGUGUAUGAAGAAGGCCUUAGGGUUGUAAAGUACUUUCAUCGGGGAGGAAAAAACAAAACUAAUAAUUUUAUUUCUUGACGUUACCCGAAAAAGAAGCACCGGCUAACUCCGUGCCAGCAGCCGCGGUAAUACGGAGGGUGCUAGCGUUAAUCAGAAUUACUGGGCGUAAAGAGCACGUAGGUGGUUUUUUUAAAGUCAGAUGUGAAAUCCCUGGGCUUUAACCUAGGAACUGCAUUUUGAAACUGAAAUACUAGAGUAUCGUAGAGGGAGGUAGAAUUCUAGGUGUAGCGGUGAAAUGCGUAGAUAUCUGGAGGAAUACCUGUGGCGAAAGCGGCCUCCUAAACGAAUACUGACACUGAGGGUGCGAAAGCGUGGGGAGCAAAACAGGGAUUAGAUACC